RNAcentral lists this small RNA (497 nucleotides) under uncultured Gigaspora. RNAcentral describes it as "SSU rRNA". It matches the Rfam family "Eukaryotic small subunit ribosomal RNA", at positions 569 to 1073 of the family's 1831-position model. Lineage: Eukaryota; Fungi; Glomeromycota; Glomeromycetes; Diversisporales; Gigasporaceae. The record is from RNAcentral.
AGCAGCCGCGGUAAUUCCAGCUCCAAUAGCGUAUAUUAAAGUUGUUGCAGUUAAAAAGCUCGUAGUUGAAUUUCGGGGUUCUACCGUUGGUCGGGCUAUAGUCUGUACUGGCGUGUGGAAUUUCUACCUUCUGGGGAACUAUCAUGUUAUUAAUUUAGCGUGGUAGGAAACCAGAACCUUUACCUUGAAAAAAUUAGAGUGUUCAAAGCAGGCUUACGUCUGAAUACAUUAGCAUGGAAUAAUAAAAUAGGACGGUGGUCCUGUUUUGUUGGUUUCUGAAUCACCGUAAUGAUUAAUAGGGAUAGUUGGGGGCAUUAGUAUUCAAUUGUCAGAGGUGAAAUUCUUGGAUUUAUUGAAGACUAACUACUGCGAAAGCAUUUGCCAAGGAUGUUUUCAUUAAUCAAGAACGAAAGUUAGGGGAUCGAAGACGAUCAGAUACCGUCGUAGUCUUAACCAUAAACUAUGCCGACUAGGGAUCGGAUGAUGUUAAUUUUUAA